GCCUCCCUCUAUCAGUCAUGCUAGUAAAUAUAUAUAGGAACAAAUUAGGUUAAUGAUAAUGGGCCUAAGUUUAUUUUGAAACCCAAUAUUAAAUUAAAAACUGAAUAAAGUUAAAUAAUUAAAAUAGUUAAAAUUAAAAUAAAAACUAAUUAACCUAUUUAUUUAUUCUAGACCCAAUAUAAAAAUAAAUAGACUCAAAAAAAAAAAAGUCGGGCACCAAAAUGCUCGAAAAAAUAAAAUGAACACGUCAAAAUAAUCAGCGCGAAAUAAAUGACUCGGAAAAAUACAGCGUUUGGUCGGAUUUUGAAAUAAAAAUUAUGACCGUUUAAACUGCUCAGACUGAUCAACAUAUGACCAAAAAUAGUCGUAAAAAUAUUUUUAGCAUGUCAAAU
Molecule: long non-coding RNA, 392 nt
Filed under: Lathyrus oleraceus (garden pea)
Lineage: Eukaryota; Viridiplantae; Streptophyta; Magnoliopsida; Fabales; Fabaceae
Description: Pisum sativum (pea) long non-coding RNA (PSAT_LNC004900)
Source: RNAcentral